RNAcentral lists this ribosomal RNA (377 nucleotides) under uncultured eukaryote. RNAcentral's name for it is "partial 18S ribosomal RNA". It matches the Rfam family "Eukaryotic small subunit ribosomal RNA", at positions 592 to 976 of the family's 1831-position model. The record is from RNAcentral.
CGAUAGCGUAUAUUUAAGUUGUUGCAGUUAAAACGCUCGUAGUUGGAUUUCGGGUGGGAAUGGCCGGUCCGCCGUUUCGGUGUGCACUUGCUACGCCCACCUUGCUGCCGGGGACGUGCUCUUGAGUUCACGCUCGGGACACGGAGUCGGCGAGGUUACUUUGAGUAAAUUAGAGUGUUCAAAGCAGGCCUACGCUCUGAAUACAUUAGCAUGGAAUAACACGAUAGGACUCUGGCCUAUCUUGUUGGUCUGUAGGACCGGAGUAAUGAUUAAGAGGGACAGUCGGGGGCAUUCGUAUUUCAUUGUCAGAGGUGAAAUUCUUGGAUUUAUGAAAGACGAACUACUGCGAAAGCAUUUGCCAAGGAUGUUUUCAUUAA